CGGCGUGCUUAACACAUGCAAGUCGAACGGAGUUUUUAACGGAAGUUUCGGAUGGAAGUUUAGAAACUUAGUGGCGGACGGGUGAGUAACGCGUGGGUAACCUGCCUCAUACAGGGGGAUAACAGUUAGAAAUGACUGCUAACACCGCAUAAUAUAGCGAAACCGCAUGAUUUUGCUAUCAAAUAUUUAUAGGUAUGAGAUGGGCCCGCGUCUGAUUAGCUAGUUGGUGGGGUAAAAGCCUACCAAGGCGACGAUCAGUAGCCGGCUUGAGAGAGUGACCGGCCACAUUGGGACUGAGACACGGCCCAAACUCCUACGGGAGGCAGCAGUGGGGAAUAUUGGACAAUGGGGGAAACCCUGAUCCAGCGAACCGCCGCGUGAGUGAAGAAGUAUUUCGGUAUGUAAAGCUCUAUCAGCAGGGAAGAUAAUGACAGUACCUGACUAAGAAGCCCCGGCUAACUACGUGCCAGCCGCAGC
This 477-nucleotide ribosomal RNA is filed under the name uncultured bacterium. RNAcentral's name for it is "bacterial SSU rRNA". It matches the Rfam family "Bacterial small subunit ribosomal RNA", at positions 40 to 518 of the family's 1533-position model. The record is from RNAcentral.